RNAcentral lists this ribosomal RNA (538 nucleotides) under Fonsecaea monophora. RNAcentral's name for it is "eukaryotic LSU rRNA". It matches the Rfam family "Eukaryotic large subunit ribosomal RNA", at positions 74 to 628 of the family's 3401-position model. Lineage: Eukaryota; Fungi; Ascomycota; Eurotiomycetes; Chaetothyriales; Herpotrichiellaceae. The record is from RNAcentral.
AUUGCCUCAGUAACGGCGAGUGAAGCGGCAACAGCUCAAAUUUGAAAUCUGGCCUCUUGGGGUCCGAGUUGUAAUUUGUAGAGGAUGUUUCGGGUACCGCCUCGGUUUAAAUUUCUUGGAACAGAAUGUCAAAGAGGGUGAGAAUCCCGUCUUGGACCGGCGGUAGGGCCUAUGUGAAACUCCUUCGACGAGUCGAGUUGUUUGGGAAUGCAGCUCAAAAUGGGUGGUAAAUUUCAUCUAAAGCUAAAUAUUGGCCAGAGACCGAUAGCGCACAAGUAGAGUGAUCGAAAGAUGAAAAGCACUUUGAAAAGAGAGUUAAACAGUAUGUGAAAUUGUUGAAAGGGAAGCGCUUGCAACCAGACUUGAGCGCGGCGGUUCCCCCUUGCUUCUGCUUGGGUUACUCCGCCGUGUCCAGGCCAACAUCGGUUCUGGGGGUCGGUCAAAGGCUCUGGGAAUGUAUCUACCCACGGGUAGACUUAUAGACCAGGGUGUCAUGCGACCUCCCGGGACCGAGGAACGCGCUUCGGCUCGGAUGUUG